RNAcentral lists this ribosomal RNA (227 nucleotides) under uncultured fungus. Its description in RNAcentral is "partial small subunit ribosomal RNA". It matches the Rfam family "Eukaryotic small subunit ribosomal RNA", at positions 622 to 864 of the family's 1831-position model. Lineage: Eukaryota; Fungi. The record is from RNAcentral.
GACGAACCGGAAUGGCCCGUUCUCGGUUACGAGUAUGAGUGCCGUUUUGAGUUUGUCAUCCUUCCAGAGAGCGGCGUCUACCGUUUAUUCGGCCGGAUGCUUGCGAUCUGGAUCUAUUACUUUGAAAAAAUUAGAGUGUUUAAAGCAGGCUUAUGCUAUGAAUACAUUAGCAUGGAAUAAUAAUUUAGGACUUUGGUUCUAUUUUGUUGGUUUCUAGGACUGAAGUA